Prosopis cineraria is the source of this 1727-nucleotide long non-coding RNA. RefSeq lists it as uncharacterized. The record is from RefSeq and is a predicted model, not a curated record. Lineage: Eukaryota; Viridiplantae; Streptophyta; Magnoliopsida; Fabales; Fabaceae. The transcript has 4 exons.
UCUUCCCAUCUGCUGAACCGUUUUAUAUAUGAGUAUGAUAAGCUAAAUUCUGCUCUUUAAUUGGUCGCAAUUUCUGGUCUUUCUUUUUCUUAUUCGAGUUGCAGAUCAGAGCCUUCUUCCGUCAUCAGCGUCGACCACAUGCUGAUCUUAAACCGUCAACGCUGCACUCAGGUUUGAGGAGGUUAAAUCUGGACAGUGCAUUCCAACACUUAAUCCUAGCCAUUCAUGGCUUUUAAUUUAAAACCACCGUCUUCCUCAUCACACUGGCAGGGAAGCUAAUUACAGAAACAGAGUCUCAAGUGCGGGAAACUUCUGCACAGGCUCACAAGCAAAAGCAACCACGUACUUUCUUUAUUGAUCAAGAUCAAGCAAUGGCUAGGGCAUUAGAGGAUGUAAUGCCUGAGGUUAAACAUGGCUUGUGCAUCUUCCAUUUGCAUAUAAAUGGUGUGAAACAUUUGGCAAACUUAAUAAAAGAUGGCUCACAUUUCUUGACUGAUCUUAACAAGUGCUUGUAUGACUACCAUGAAGAAUUUGAGUUUGAGGAUGCUUGGAGGAAGCUACAGUUGACUUACAAUUUGGAAGAAAACUCUUAGUUGUGCUCCAUAUAUAAGGUAAAAGAAAAAUAGGCAGCUUGUGAUAUGAAAUAUGCUUUUACAAUUGGUAUGCAGAGCACUCAACUAAGUGAGAGCAUUAAUUCAUCUUUAAAGGAUUGCAUGAAGCCUGAACUUGAUAUCAAUACAUUCUUUAAGCUCUUUGAAUUGGUAGUUAAUGGUAAGCGAUAUACUAAGUUACAACAUGACUUUGAAACACGUGAAAAGCUGCCUAGAUUAAUUAUGCGAAGUGCAUUGAUGCUCCAACAAGUUUCUCAAAUCUACACUCCUACUAUACAUGAUGUCUUCCAAUAUGAGUGGGAUUAUAGUUGUGCAUACUAUAUAAAAGAAAGAGAUGAGGCAGGUGAUGUAAAGCAAUAUGUGGUUAGAUUGAUUACUAAACCAGGAGAGUGGAGAGUUUCUUAUGAUACUACUAGUGGUUUAACCAAUUGUAGUUGCAUGAAGUUUCAGCAAUAUGGAAUAAUUUGUUGUCAUGCAUUGAGGAUAUAUACACAUCUAGAAGUUGAUGUACUUCCAAAACAAUAUAUAAUGAGAAGGUGGACAAGGGAAGCAAGAUAUGGAGUUGUUCAGAAUAUUCUGGGUAAUGAGAUUCAAGUUGAUCCUAAGAUGAAAAGUUCAAUGUAUGUCCUAUAUUUGUAAGGAUGUUCAAGUGCCACAAGAUACCUCUAACUUAGCUUCACAAAGGCAGAAAAAGAAAAGAAAAAUCAAAUCUCUUGGCUCAUUGGGUGCAUUAGAACAUGGCAUAAUUUUAUUCAAAAUUUGGCACAUUACAUGUGUUCUAGCACACUAGAACUUUCAAAUCAAUUAUUUACAAGCAGUACAUUUGUAAAACUUUAACAAUGCUGUCUCUUUAACAUAGGUUCUCAAUCUAGCACCAUCAGUCACAUGUGAAGAUAUGUCCCAUGAUCUUAGCCACUACUCCAGCUUUAGUUUCAUUCUAGUUCAAGAAGACAUUUUAAUACAGUCAUUUAGCCAGUAAAAGGUAGCUCUUUUAGUAUUUUUGAUUCAUUUUGGUCCAGUCAUUUUGACAGUAUAAGGCAACUCCUUCAAUAUUUUUGAUUCAUUUUAGGUCUUCAAAUUAUUCAACAACAACAUAACAUUACUAGGAAUUGUAUA